UAGAAGCUUGCUUCUAUGACGUUAGCCGGCGGACGGGUGAGUAACACGUGGGCAACCUGCCUGUAAGACUGGGAUAACUUCGGGAAACCGAAGCUAAUACCGGAUAGGAUCUUCUCCUUCAUGGGAGAUGAUUGAAAGAUGGUUUCGGCUAUCACUUACAGAUGGGCCCGCGGUGCAUUAGCUAGUUGGUGAGGUAACGGCUCACCAAGGCAACGAUGCAUAGCCGACCUGAGGAGGGUGAUCGGCCACACUGGGACUGAGACACGGCCCAGACUCCUACGGGAGGCAGCAGUAGGGAAUCUUCCGCAAUGGACGAAAGUCUGACGGAGCAACGCCGCGUGAGUGAUGAAGGCUUUCGGGUCGUAAAACUCUGUUGUUAGGGAAGAACAAGUACAAGAGUAACUGCUUGUACCUUGACGGUACCUAACCAGAAAGCCACGGCUAA
RNAcentral lists this ribosomal RNA (445 nucleotides) under Bacillus sp. TFSA10. RNAcentral describes it as "bacterial SSU rRNA". It matches the Rfam family "Bacterial small subunit ribosomal RNA", at positions 73 to 500 of the family's 1533-position model. The record is from RNAcentral. Lineage: Bacteria; Bacillati; Bacillota; Bacilli; Caryophanales; Bacillaceae.